AAAGUCGUAACAAGGUUUCCGUAGGUGAACCUGCGGAAGGAUCAUUAACAAAUCCCAGUGGGUUACGAGUUUGAAGAAAUUCAAGCCCGUACCUGCUAAUAUUAUAUAUUCACCCCUAGUGGUCCGGUGGACCCUUUGGGCUCUUGAUCGUGAGAUCAAGGCAUCUAUCUAUAUACAUAGACGCACCUGUAUGUUUGUAUGACAGUUUGACACUAAAAUAAUAAAUGACAACUUUUAACAAUGGAUCUCUUGGCUCUU
This 258-nucleotide unclassified non-coding RNA is filed under the name Basidiomycota sp. Its description in RNAcentral is "partial contains small subunit ribosomal RNA, internal transcribed spacer 1, and 5.8S ribosomal RNA". The stretch from base 1 to 47 matches the Rfam family "Eukaryotic small subunit ribosomal RNA", at positions 1785 to 1831 of the family's 1831-position model. Lineage: Eukaryota; Fungi; Basidiomycota. The record is from RNAcentral.